Molecule: ribosomal RNA, 442 nt
Filed under: uncultured bacterium
Lineage: Bacteria
Description: partial 16S ribosomal RNA
Rfam family: Bacterial small subunit ribosomal RNA
Source: RNAcentral
CCUACGGGAGGCAGCAGUGGGGAAUAUUGGGCAAUGGGCGCAAGCCUGACCCAGCAACGCCGCGUGAAGGAAGACGGCUUUCUGGUUGUAAACCUCUUUUAAUAGGGAAGAGCAGUAGACUGUACCUCUUGAAUAAUCCACGGCUAACUACGUGCCAGCAGCCGCGGGAAUACGUAGGUGGCAAGUGUUGUCCGGAUUUACUGGGUGUAAAGGGCGUGCAGCCGGGAAGACAAGUCAGAUGUGAAAUCCCGCGGCUCAACCGCGGAACUGCAUUUGAAACUGUUUUUCUUGAGUACCGGAAAGGUAAUCGGAAUUCCUUGUGUAGCGGUGAAAUGCGUAGAUAUAAGGAAGAACACCAGUGGCGAAGGCGGAUGACUGGACGGCAACUGACGGUGAGGCGCGAAAGCGUGGGGAGCAAACAGGAUUAGAUACCCUGGUAGUC